RNAcentral lists this ribosomal RNA (601 nucleotides) under uncultured bacterium. Its description in RNAcentral is "bacterial SSU rRNA". It matches the Rfam family "Bacterial small subunit ribosomal RNA", at positions 735 to 1341 of the family's 1533-position model. The record is from RNAcentral.
CUUUACUGACGCUAAAGCUCGAAGGUGCGGGUAUCGAACAGGAUUAGAUACCCUGGUAGUCCGCACGGUAAACGAUGGAUGCCCGCUGUUGGCGAUACACUGUCAGCGGCCAAGCGAAAGCGUUAAGCAUCCCACCUGGGGAGUACGCCGGCAACGGUGAAACUCAAAGGAAUUGACGGGGGCCCGCACAAGCGGAGGAACAUGUGGUUUAAUUCGAUGAUACGCGAGGAACCUUACCCGGGCUUGAACUGCAGGAGAAGGAUACAGAGAUGUUGACGUCCUUCGGGACUCCUGUGGAGGUGCUGCAUGGUUGUCGUCAGCUUGUGCCGUGAGGUGUCGGCUUAAGUGCCAUAACGAGCGCAACCCCUUUCGCCAGUUGCCAUCAGGUGAUGCUGGGCACUCUGGGGAUACUGCCACCGUAAGGUGUGAGGAAGGUGGGGAUGACGUCAAAUCAGCACGGCCCUUACGUCCGGGGCUACACACGUGUUACAAUGGGGGGUACAGAGAGUCGGUCGCACGCAAGUACGGUCCAAUCAUGAAAGCUCCCCUCAGUUCGGAUUGGGGUCUGCAACCCGACCCCAUGAAGCUGGAUCGCUAGUAA